UUUGAUCUAUGAAGUCUUUAAUGUUGUCUUGAUCUAUCAAAUCUUUAAUGUCUCUCAUACAUGGAUUCAAACACAGACAACAAUACACUAGAGUACAUUCAUGAACGAACAUUUGUUUUGACUAUAGAUUUCAAAUAAGAAUCUUUGAAAUGAAUAUAUAAGCUUAUGAAUUUCAUUAAAAAAAACAACAAGAACAAACAAACAAAAAAAAACAACAGUUUUUAUACGAUCCAUUUUCCGUUCACAAUUUGUUUUUACAGUUUUUUGUUUCGUAAGAAAACUUGACAAGGGGGAAAAAACUAAAAUACAAAACUGUAUAUACUAAACGUCCAACGCUGUACACGUCGAACGCUGCACACGUCGAACGCUGCAAUCAAUCCACUUAAGGAAAAGUACUGCGUGGGAGUUAGGAGGCAUUACGUCUCACAGUGGAGAAAGUUUUAAGGAGUGGUCCUUCUUGGAUUUAGGAAAAACUUGCACAUGUGUCACUGUAGCAUCCGAUUCCAGCAGUGCAUUUUUUUCAACACAUUUAAUACAUUUAACUUAAAGAGGGAUGCGCGGCUGACUACCAUGAACCGCCUGCUUGCCUGAGAGGGAGCUUGUCUUCAAAUCCUGAUACAGAUGAGUGAUUUUUAAUAUUAAAAUAGGAUUCAAGUUGAAACGUGAUUUCUGAGAACCUAAGACAGCAAGGAAACCUUUAAUAAGGAGAGAUGGCAUUCUACUCAAAGGUAAGAGAAGGAAACUCGUGAAAUUCGUGUACAGUGGUUUCGUGCGUUAUUUCCCUUGUUCUAAAGUUUGUGGGAGUGUAACUUUAUCCUAUUGGAAGCACUGGAAUCUAUUUUCUAACUUCGGAAUGAAGAUUUGGUCUAGGACUAGUUUCUCUACUGAAAUCUUUUACGGCAUCUUAACACCCGUGUCACAAUAAGUAAUUGACUUUUGUGUGAGAGUAUAAUAUCUCUAUGCUACCUGUACUCCUAGGUUUUGAAAAGGAAACAUCUACAUGUGCACUAUUUGUAGUUAUUAAGUCUCAAUUAUCACCUCAAAAAUAAAUCACUACUUUUAAUUUGAGAACCUCGUCCAAGUCUCCUUUCGUCGACAACUUUUUUUUUUUGGAAAAAAAAAGGGGGGGGGGGGGCAAUUACACCAGAAUGCUUAUUAUGAAUUUUAAAAUCACAAAAAUAAAUUAACAUCGUAGUUUGACAAAAUAUUUGGGACAACUCUUUAAUCACUCAAGUACUACCCAUUGAAGGAAUUGCACGAACUAACAAAAGGGCUGUAUUGUUAGCAUUAAAAUCACUACAAAAUACAAGAUUCACUUCGGGUGUUUAUACUGGAAGAACUGUUUGAACAAGUGUCUUCAAUUGCAAUACAAGUAAUGUAUUUAAACAACAACAACAACAACCUUCCGCACAUUUCUUUUCCACUUUGUCUCGACUAUAUUUGGCGCAUUAAAACAAAAUUACAUGACAUGUCAUAAGGGCGCAUAAGACGAAAUGAUAAAGAAAAUAUUACAGAGUAGAAUAGCCUUUCUUAGUGGCCAAAACGUUAUUUCUUUUGAAACAUGCACUUCUAUAAAUAUGAAAAUGCUGUGAGGGUAUCAAUAUUUUAAUAAUCAUAACUUGUAUAAAUUCAUCAAGGCACUCUUAAUUUAACAAUAGUCAGUGAUAAUUUUGUACACCAGAAUGUGAUGGCCGAUCUAGUCAGUGUACAGAAUGUCGUGGCUGAUCUAGUCAGUGUACAGAAUGUCGUGGCUGAUCUAGUCAGUGUACAGAAUGUCAUGGCUGAUCUAGUCAGUGUACAGAAUGUCAUGGCUGAUCUAGUCAGUGUACAGAAUGUCAUGGCUGAUCUAGUCAGUGUACAUAAUGUCAUGGCUGAUCUAGUCAGUGUACAGAAUGUCAUGGCUUAUCUAGUCAGUGUACACAAUGUCAUGGCUGAUCUA
Non-coding RNA from Biomphalaria pfeifferi, 1939 nucleotides. NCBI's taxonomy places the organism in Eukaryota, Metazoa, Mollusca, Gastropoda, Planorbidae. The record is from the annotation of a GenBank genome assembly.